GCCGAUUCAUGAUUUAAACACGCAAAAUGUCUGGUUUGCAUAUUUGUGCCUAGCCCUGUUACCAGCAGUGUAUUUUUUGCCGUAAGAAAGACAACAAUGCUUUAUUUCUUUGACUUUUUGACCGUGUCUAAUUUCUGGUAAAAGAGAGGAAUUUCAGAGAGAUAGACAACCUGAAGAGCUUUGAAUGGUUGUUCGAGUGUGCCACGCUGCUGUUGCGUAGCUGGCACCGGUGUGUCGCUACUGCCGAGAUAAGCGCAGUUUACUCCAGGUUUGGUGAUGGUGUUGAACAACACCUUAACUGGGCCAAGGAAUUUAGUAGCAUUGUGGGAUCAUAAACCAGUUUUUCUGUUCUCUGUGCUCACAUAGUAAGAACAUGCUUGCAAGUUCUUUUCCUUAGGUGUAAUUUCUUUUGCUGAGAUAGAUUAAGCCUGGGUCGAGGUGGCUGUUGUGUGCCGGUUGCCAGUACUUGUUUGUUGUAAUGUCUUACCCAGUGAGAUUUCUUUUAUUCUUGCCUAUUUUCAGAGGUUCUGCUUGAAGAUUCUCUAAUCACUUUCUUUGGAACUUUUUGCUGAGAUAUGCUUCCAGGUUACUUCAAUGUUACCAGACUUAAAAUGUACUAUCUAGCAUACUAGCACGUGUGUAUAUGAUGCCUCCUUUUAUCCUUGAAUGUAAGACACAUGGUGUUUUGUUCCAUUGUUAUGCUUAACGGAAGUGAUGUUCUGUUAUCAUAUUCAAAACUAUAGCUCUUUGUUUGCAGUAUCUCGGAGGGAGCAAUAUUUUGAUACUUGCUUUAUAGGAAUUCUCUUUCUUUGCCUAGAAUUUGUGAUUUAUGGCUGAUGUCAAUUCCACCUUUGUAGGUGUUUCUCAAUUAUUACUAAUGUUGAAACUGCAGAGGAGCAGGAGAUGAGGAGGGCCCCACUUGGUGUACAAUGGUGAAUGAUGCGGCAGUUAGACCGGGAGAUGAGGAGCGCGGCACUGGGUGUACGAAGGAUUAGUAGGAAGAAUGUUAAUCACAGUGGGUGAAAAGGUAUACGAAAAUGCGAGCUCGGCUGAUUGCAUACUAUUUGGUUGAGUUGUUUUGUCCUAAAGAUACAACCAAGCUGAAGAUUUCUUUUGUAUGGAAAUUCACCAUGGGAAUCGAAAUAAUGGUACUCUACACAGCCUUACUUUCUUGCAUCGAUUCUUCAUUCUACAAGUCACACCUUUUCUAUUUGGUAAAAGAAGAGUGAGCUCAUGCUUGAACUUCCACUAUAUAUGUUAACACUUGGAUACUGUAUCAAUCCAGUAAUCAUCUGAUCCUUCAUUGUUUU
Long non-coding RNA from Triticum aestivum (bread wheat), 1310 nucleotides. RefSeq lists it as uncharacterized. NCBI's taxonomy places the organism in Eukaryota, Viridiplantae, Streptophyta, Magnoliopsida, Poales, Poaceae. The transcript has 2 exons. The record is from RefSeq and is a predicted model, not a curated record.